GGGAAAACAGAAGUUUCCAGGAGGUAGAGCUGUCCUUUGCUCUGGGUCUUGUGAUCUAGAUGAGGUCCUUACUACCAAGUACCCUCAAGGAAUGGAGGAGGCACUCAGUUCCUACCACAUUUUGGAUAUGGCUCAGCAAAUAUUUAUUUUGGAAAAAUCUUGGAUUUACCCCUACUUCAAGUGUGGUCAGAAUACUAUGAUGACAGACUUCAUCUGAGAUGUAAGACAGGCAAGGCAGCACUUUGCCUUGGAACUCAGAAAUGGGCCAGUGAAACAAUACCAACCUCGGUAAGUGAAGCC
Long non-coding RNA from Heterocephalus glaber (naked mole-rat), 300 nucleotides. NCBI's taxonomy places the organism in Eukaryota, Metazoa, Chordata, Mammalia, Rodentia, Bathyergidae. The record is from Ensembl.